This 200-nucleotide long non-coding RNA is filed under the name Manihot esculenta (cassava). Its description in RNAcentral is "long non-coding RNA (MESC_LNC005928)". The record is from RNAcentral. Lineage: Eukaryota; Viridiplantae; Streptophyta; Magnoliopsida; Malpighiales; Euphorbiaceae.
CUUGGCUUCGGGGAGUACAUUCAGCUUGUGUGUCAUCACCGUGGGGUCAAUUCCAGGCAUGUCGGAGGGCUUCCAGGCGAAACUAGACGCAUGACCUCGGAUCAGGGCCAUGACUUCAGCUUUUUGUUCUUUAGUGAGGCCGGCGUUGAGACUAAAGACCUUUUCUACCUCUGCUUCUGAUAAAGGGAAGGUCUCCAGCU